GUAGGUGGCAAGCGUUGUCCGGAAUUAUUGGGCGUAAAGCGCGCGCAGGCGGUUCCUUAAGUCUGAUGUGAAAGCCCCCGGCUCAACCGGGGAGGGUCAUUGGAAACUGGGGAACUUGAGUGCAGAAGAGGAGAGCGGAAUUCCACGUGUAGCGGUGAAAUGCGUAGAGAUGUGGAGGAACACCAGUGGCGAAGGCGGCUCUCUGGUCUGUAACUGACGCUGAGGCGCGAAAGCGUGGGGAGCGAACAGGAUUAGAUACCCUGGUAGUCCACGCCGUAAACGAUGAGUGCUAAGUGUUAGAGGGUUUCCGCCCUUUAGUGCUGCAGCAAACGCAUUAAGCACUCCGCCUGGGGAGUACGGCCGCAAGGCUG
This 371-nucleotide ribosomal RNA is filed under the name uncultured bacterium. RNAcentral's name for it is "bacterial SSU rRNA". It matches the Rfam family "Bacterial small subunit ribosomal RNA", at positions 527 to 896 of the family's 1533-position model. The record is from RNAcentral.